Molecule: microRNA, 22 nt
Filed under: Nautilus pompilius
Lineage: Eukaryota; Metazoa; Mollusca; Cephalopoda; Nautilida; Nautilidae
Description: Npo-Mir-12502_3p (mature (guide))
Source: RNAcentral
AGUUCCUGGAAGGACUGAAACC